RNAcentral lists this transfer RNA (68 nucleotides) under Marmota monax (woodchuck). Its description in RNAcentral is "tRNA.Ala". Lineage: Eukaryota; Metazoa; Chordata; Mammalia; Rodentia; Sciuridae. The record is from RNAcentral.
GGAUUAUGGCUCAGUGGUAGAGCACUUGCCUAGCAUGUGUGAGGCACUGUGUUCAAUCCUCAGCACCA